This 327-nucleotide ribosomal RNA is filed under the name uncultured eukaryote. RNAcentral's name for it is "partial 18S ribosomal RNA". It matches the Rfam family "Eukaryotic small subunit ribosomal RNA", at positions 1470 to 1796 of the family's 1831-position model. The record is from RNAcentral.
CCCUUAGAUGUUCUGGGCCGCACGCGCGCUACACUGACGAAUGCAACGAGCUUAUAACCUUGGCCGAAAGGUCUGGGUAAUCUCCAAAUUUCGUCGUGAUGGGGAUAGAUUAUUGCAAUUAUUAAUCUUCAACGAGGAAUGCCUAGUAAGCGCAAGUCAUCAACUUGCGUUGAUUACGUCCCUGCCCUUUGUACACACCGCCCGUCGCUCCUACCGAUUGAAUGGUCCGGUGAAGCGUUCGGACCGUGGCCUUUGGACGGUUCGCCGUCUGUUGGCUGCGGGAAGUUCGUUAAACCUUAUCAUUUAGAGGAAGGAGAAGUCGUAACA